Pelodiscus sinensis (Chinese soft-shelled turtle) is the source of this 511-nucleotide non-coding RNA. Lineage: Eukaryota; Metazoa; Chordata; Testudines; Trionychidae. The record is from the annotation of a RefSeq genome assembly.
UGAAUCUUAACAAUAAAAGAGAAAAAAAUCAAGAAGGACCAUGAAUUUGCAAAUGUAUUUCAUCUGGCUUCUCUUUUCCCUGCUGGAAGCAUCCAGUGGGCAGAUUGUGAUCACUCAGACACCUGCUUCUGUGACAGUGCUUCCAGGAGAGACGGUCACCAUCCAGUGCAAGGCGUCCAGUUCUGUUAGCUAUGAAAUGAACUUUUAUCAGUUCAAAAGAGGAGAGGUUCCCAAGCCCAUCAUUUAUGAUGGCUCUAAACGUUUCACUGGGGUCCCAGAUCGAUUCAGUGGCAGUUACAGCGGCACUGACUUCACAUUCACCAUUAGGAAUGUGCAGGCUGAGGAUGCAGCAGAAUAUUACUGUGGGCAAGAUAACAGCCGUCCUCUCACAGUGAUACAGUUCAGUACAAAAACCUCUGCCAUGCCACUGCAUGCACCACUUAGUGUAAAGCGGAAGGAAGCAGCUGUAUAUUUAUCAGGCUGGCUGGAGAAAAACCACCAGCGAGUCUAA